AUACAUACCUGGCAGGAGAGAUACCAUGAUCACGAACGUGGUUUUCCCAGGGUGAGGCUUAUCCAUUGCACUCUGGAUGUGCUGACCCCUGUGAUUUCCCCAAAUAUGGGAAACUCAACUGCAUAAUUUGUGGCAGUGGGGCACUGUGUUCAUGCUCAA
Small nuclear RNA from Echinops telfairi (small Madagascar hedgehog), 159 nucleotides. Its record names the gene U1. It matches the Rfam family "U1 spliceosomal RNA". From Rfam's summary of the family: U1 is a small nuclear RNA (snRNA) component of the spliceosome (involved in pre-mRNA splicing). Its 5' end forms complementary base pairs with the 5' splice junction, thus defining the 5' donor site of an intron. The record is from Ensembl. NCBI's taxonomy places the organism in Eukaryota, Metazoa, Chordata, Mammalia, Afrosoricida, Tenrecidae.